UGGGGAAUCUUGGGCAAUGGGCGAAAGCCUGACCCAGCGACGCCGCGUGGGGGAAGAAGGCCUUCGGGUUGUAAACCCCUUUUGCAGGGGACGACACAGGACGGUACCCUGCGAAUAAGCCACGGCUAACUCUGUSCCAGCAGCCGCGGUAAGACAGAGGUGGCGAGCGUUGCUCGGAUUUACUGGGCUUAAAGGGCGYGUAGGUGGCCUUGUAAGUCAAAGGUGGAAUUCCACAGCUCAACUGUGGAACUGCCUUUGAUACUGCAAGGCUUGAGUCAGGUAGAGGAGGGSGGAAUUCCCGGUGUAGCGGUGAAAUGYGUAGAUAUCGGGAGGAAGGCCGGUGGMGAAGGCGGCCCUCUGGGCCUGUACUGACASUGAGGCGCGAAAGCGUGGGGAGCAAACAGGAUUAGAUACCCUGGUAGUCCACGCCCUAAACGGUGGGCACUAGGUGUGGGAUCCGUAUGGAUUCCGUGCCGAAGGGAAACCA
Molecule: ribosomal RNA, 487 nt
Filed under: uncultured bacterium
Lineage: Bacteria
Description: bacterial SSU rRNA
Rfam family: Bacterial small subunit ribosomal RNA
Source: RNAcentral